AAAAAAAAAAAAAAAAAAGAAAAAAAACUCUACGGCUGAUUUUCCCAUGCACGCCACCUCCAAACCUCCAUCUUUCUAUCUUAUUAUUUCUCUUUUCAUAUCCGCCGCCCCGCCCCGCCCCGCCCCGCUCGAUUACAGUAAUGUUGCUUUUCGGUGCCGUUUACGGCCGUAUUUUUGUUCUCUGUUGCAAUCUCACUUAAUAUUAUUUGCUUAUUUAUUUCAGUUGAUCGUAUCUUUAUUCUUCUUGAUAGGCCGGCGACUCGAUGGAUCCGAUAGACCUGACGGCGAAAGCGCUCAGAAAGAAGAGCAAGAGGAGGGAAAAAAAGGCAUGGGCGUCAAUUUCUUCUUAUCCUCUCUCUUUUUUCUCAAAAGAACUCAUUGAUGGAGAAAAUCUUGUUUAAAUUUGAACUGGUUUUGCAAAUAUUUCAGUUUAAUUUCAGUACCGACUAUUUUGUAACAAUCAUAGAUUGAUUCUUUCAUGUUAGAUACAGACUGGCUGUGAUUUUUUUUAGAUGC
This 516-nucleotide long non-coding RNA is filed under the name Erythranthe guttata (spotted monkey flower). Its description in RNAcentral is "long non-coding RNA (EGUT_LNC003823)". The record is from RNAcentral. Lineage: Eukaryota; Viridiplantae; Streptophyta; Magnoliopsida; Lamiales; Phrymaceae.